This 499-nucleotide ribosomal RNA is filed under the name uncultured bacterium. RNAcentral describes it as "partial 16S ribosomal RNA". It matches the Rfam family "Bacterial small subunit ribosomal RNA", at positions 28 to 507 of the family's 1533-position model. The record is from RNAcentral.
GACGAACGCUGGCGGCGUGCUUAACACAUGCAAGUCGAACGGGUCUGCCCUGUUUUUUGCGGGGUGGGUCAGUGGCGAACGGGUGAGUAACACGUGAGUAACCUGCCCCUCACUUCUGGAUAACCGCUUGAAAGGGUGGCUAAUACGGGGUGUUCUGGCUGUGCCGCAUGGUGUGGCUGGGAAAGAUUCACUUUUGUGGUGUUUUGUGGGGGAUGGGCUCGCGGCCUAUCAGCUUGUUGGUGGGGUGAUGGCCUGCCAAGGCUUUGACGGGUAGCCGGCCUGAGAGGGUGGGCGGUCACACUGGGACUGAGAUACGGCCCAGACUCCUGCGGGAGGCAGCAGUGGGGGGUAUUGCACAAUGGGCGGAAGCCUGAUGCAGCGACGUCGCGUGAGGGAUGGAGGCCUUCGGGUUGUGAACCUCUUUCGCCGGUGAAGAAGGUCCUGCUCUUUGUGGUGGGGUUGACGGUAGCCGGGUUAUGAAGCGCCGGCUAACUACGUG